CUGUUAUAUCUCUCCACACCCACUAUAUCUUCCCCAUCCCUAACCUCUAUUCAUCGCUUUCCAAUUCCAAACCCUAAUUCUUCCAUUUCUCUCUAUUUUUCGUUUCUUUUUUCUAGCUACCAUGUUCGGGUGUUAGGAAAAUCUCCGCCAAAUUCAAGCCGAAAGAAAAUCUCUUGCUGCGGGUACAGUUAUACUCGCGCUUCUUUCGCUCAUUUUCUUUCUCAUUUAUCCGUCAUCGUUUGUGUGACGAGAGGCACGAAUUGCGUGAUGUGGUUGUUGUUUAGUUUGGAUCUGUUUAUCGAGAUAAGCGAUUUGUUCUAUUUCGUUUGGUUUGUGGAUUUUACUCUGUAAUUCUCUAAUCGCUCAGCGUUCUGAUCGAAAGAUCGUCGGGGUUUUUCGGGUGUAAUGGCACUUUAUGACAGCACUGAAUCUGUAUCAAUUGGAAACCGUUUCGAUGGAAAUGCACGGAAGUAAAGCGGAGAACGAUCUCGCGAGAUUAUUGGGGGAUGGUGGUGGUGUUGAACACUAAAUCGAAUGACAUAACUUUUGCACUUAACUGAAUAAUAAGGAAACCUUGAUGCCAGAGACAUAAAAGCAGAGCUACAAAUAAAGUAACGAUUUUGGUGAAGCAUCCUGAGCGGCAAGCACCUAUCACUAAUAUUUAGCUUACCUUGAAAGGUGCUCUAAAACAUUCUGAGUGAGGAAAACACCUAUCACCGAGUCAACAACAGACCCUUUCCACUUUGAAAAGCUUCUAUCUCCUACAAUAUAGAGGAGUUGCACCUUUGAAAUUUCAAUCAGCUUGUAAAGUCUUUUGGCAACAGGAAGUAUCAAAAGAAUUUGUGGCUGAGUCGUGUUUGUUCUCAGUGCUUUUGCAAUAUUUUCUCAUGGAACCCUUUGCUUCAAUGGAAUUGGAGAGGAUGUUAGGCACCAACUGCAGGGUAUUUUGACAAAUCUGUUCUCCAGUCUUCUGAGAGUUUUCAAACCAUUUUUCUGAUUGAUAGAGGAUAUUACCAAUUUUUUUUGCAUGAUGAUUAUACUGCUGCAUAAAUCCAUUAUCCUUCCUGGCUCAGAUCAGAAUUUCCCUGAGCUGGAACUUCCUCAGUGACUGGAAAUUUUGCUAUCUGUGGUUCUUCUGUAAUUGCUGACAAGGCUGUGACUGAUUUCCUUUCUGACUGGAAAUUAUCAGUUUGCUUUUUAUGUAGAAGUUGAUUAUCAACAGUGUUUUUUGGUAGGUUUUCUGUUUUAAGCUCAUUGCACAAGCUGAUCAGCAAAGUUGAGUUUGUAUCAUAGAUUAUAGUUGCCCCACCCAGCAUCUCUGUGGCCUUGUGGUCUGAAUUGUUAUUGAGAGCUUUCUUAUUUGUAUGGGGGAUCUCCUGAUGGGAUCCUAUUUUGCUCUGGCUUUCAUAUUUAGUAUGUUCUAAGUCAAAAUUUAGAGCUCUCCAGCAGGACUUUUUAGUUGAAACAGCAGAAUCAACAAUUUCAUCUAUAACAUCAGUCUGUGGUGUCACGGCAGAUUUCCGGACAUAUUUCCUCUUUGCGUGGAUUCUCUUUGAACUGUGUCUUUUGAGUUGCAGAUUUUGUACUUCUUUUUGGCUUGGCCUCUACAAUUACCUUUGGCCUAUGUUUUCUUUUUUGGGGUGCUUUCUGCUCAGGUGUCUUGUUCAGGUCAAAACCCAGGACAAUUCGCUUGCCGCAAAUGUUGUCAGAACGCUUUUGAUCCCCAUAUGUUGUAGAAAUUGUUGCAGAUGAUGAAUCAACAAUUUGCUGUAGAAGUCCAUCACAAUAUUCCUGAACUUCAUUUUCUGUGGAAGCAACCAAUUCUUUUCGUUGGUCUUUCUCCUGACUCGUGCUUCCAGUUAUUGUAUACUCUGAUAUUGUACAAAACUGGUUGUUCACAAAUUUGAGUUGACCCAUCACAUUUGGUACUGAUGGGAGAAAAUUGGUAAAAGUAGGAGUUGCAUCAACUUCAGCUAUUGACACGUAGUUCAGAUUAUAAUUAUGUUAAAUUUGGUAUCAGAGCUUCUGAAAUUGGGAGCUCUGGUUUUGCUGCCAUGUCCGCAGCUGCCACUGCCACUGCCACUGUUUGCUGCCAUUGAAGUCAAUGGUGGGCCAGAAAGGUAUGCCCUAAAGUGACAAUCACAACGCAGCCCAUACUUACUGGGAGCUCCAGUGAAGCCCUGUUAGGUUCCUGGGUACGAAACCUAAUUGUCUCACAACCCACACUCACAAUUGCACACAAAGGGGAAAUAAACGAAAGAAUUGUAUGUAUUCACACGAACGAAUGUCGUAUACAAUGAUGACACGGGAGCCUAACACCCUCACAAGGUCCAAGACCUGUCUAUACAAAAGAAUAUGACUAACUGCCUUCUAACAAUGAAUAGAACCCUCCCUUCCCUCCUUUCCUAACUACUAAAACAGUUAGAAUAUUAACUUUGUAUUAACUCUUCCUUCUCUCUUAAACCCAUUAUCUCCUAUUAUUUAUAUCCUAUUAAGCCCCCUCACUAUUGUGGCCACUACUUUUAAUAUAACUCAAUUUCACAAAAUUGGAUUAUUCUGAGAUUUAAAUUUGUUCAUAUAAUAUAUUUUAGUCAUGUUUCUCAUUGGUAUGGGAUAUCUAACCAGAAAGAAACUUCUUUUUUCGCCAAAAAGUUCCAGAUUGUCGAUGUUCUCACUAAAGCCUUUUGCCUCCUCAAUUCAGGGCUCUUUGGCUCGAGCUUAGAGUUGUGGAUUCGCAUGCUCAUCACCAUUCUUGAGCUUGCAGGGGUGUAUUGGAGUAUAUACAUCUCUCAGUUGUAUUUUUUUUUUCUUUUCUGGGAUCUCUGUAAAAAAUCAAUUUGUAAAGUUAACUAAACUGUCAGUUACCAUUUGAUAUCUUUACUACAGUUAGCUCAUCUCUGUAAAGUUAUAAAUAGCUCAAACUUACUAUAGUAAAAUACGUUUUGUAAUGUCUUAUUCAUAUUGUAUCAGACUCUCUACUGUUAUUCUAAUAUGGAUGUUAAUCUACUUUAUGCAAAUUAAUCGAUUCA
Molecule: long non-coding RNA, 3029 nt
Organism: Vigna angularis (adzuki bean)
Lineage: Eukaryota; Viridiplantae; Streptophyta; Magnoliopsida; Fabales; Fabaceae
Exons: 5
Source: RefSeq, a predicted model, not a curated record